AGUGAACGCUGGCGGUAGGCCUAACACAUGCAAGUCGAACGGCAGCACAGGAGAGCUUGCUCUCUGGGUGGCGAGUGGCGGACGGGUGAGGAAUACAUCGGAAUCUACCUUUUUCGUGGGGGAUAACGUAGGGAAACUUACGCUAAUACCGCAUACGACCUACGGGUGAAAGUGGGGACCGCAAGGCCUCACGCGAUUAGAUGAGCCGAUGUCCGAUUAGCUAGUUGGCGGGGUAAUGGCCCACCAAGGCGACGAUCGGUAGCUGGUCUGAGAGGAUGAUCAGCCACACUGGAACUGAGACACGGUCCAGACUCCUACGGGAGGCAGCAGUGGGGAAUAUUGGACAAUGGGCGCAAGCCUGAUCCAGCCAUACCGCGUGGGUGAAGAAGGCCUCGGUUGUAAGCCUUUGUGGAAAUGAAGUCCUGAUCGAUUAAUACUCGGUGGGAACGACGGUACCAAAGAAUAAGCACCGGCUAACUUCGUGCCAGCAGCCGCGGUAAUACGAAGGGUGUAAGCGUUACUCGGAAUUACUGGGCGUAAAGCGUGCGUAGGUGGUGGUUUAAGUCUGCUGUGAAA
RNAcentral lists this ribosomal RNA (576 nucleotides) under uncultured bacterium. RNAcentral's name for it is "bacterial SSU rRNA". It matches the Rfam family "Bacterial small subunit ribosomal RNA", at positions 28 to 599 of the family's 1533-position model. The record is from RNAcentral.